UAGAUAGAGGCGCGUUUUUAAAUAGUAUGUCGGAGCAGAGGCGCAGUACUUGUAUGCCGCACAGAAAGGUAAAAACGCCGAAGAGAAAGCCGGACUGCCGCUGUGCUUUUUCUGGGCGCACGGCUAACAGCCCUGUGACUGUCGCAUAAGCACAAUACGGAGUAUUAUCUAUAUUAGAGUAUACGGCUGAAGUUUGGCAUAUUGCGGAGAGCUAUCU
RNAcentral lists this non-coding RNA (217 nucleotides) under human gut metagenome. RNAcentral describes it as "Lysine riboswitch". The stretch from base 1 to 175 matches the Rfam family "Lysine riboswitch aptamer". Rfam says of the family: Riboswitches are metabolite binding domains within certain messenger RNAs that serve as precision sensors for their corresponding targets. Allosteric rearrangement of mRNA structure is mediated by ligand binding, and this results in modulation of gene expression. The record is from RNAcentral.